RNAcentral lists this long non-coding RNA (1806 nucleotides) under Carassius auratus (goldfish). RNAcentral's name for it is "lncRNA (ENSCARG00000049261.1)". Lineage: Eukaryota; Metazoa; Chordata; Actinopteri; Cypriniformes; Cyprinidae. The record is from RNAcentral.
AUGAAGUGGGUGCCCUGGCUCAGGUGUUCUGGUCCCUGGCAGAAGGCAUGGGCUACAAUGACACGGCCCUUAAGGAUUAUUUCAAUGACUGUCUGGAUGAUCCGUUGCUUCAAUGGGAGAUGGAGGGGUUGGAGAUCCUGGACUUUUGGGGGUUUAUGGAUUACCUGCACCAUCGUGCUCAGUGGGAUGCAACAACCCCAUCUGAGUUUCCAGACAAGAUGGCCGCCAGCCCAACGCCACAGCACAAGAUGGCUGCUGAGCCAGCGCCUCAGGAAAAGAUGGCCGCCGACCCAGCGCCACAGCACAAGUUGGCUGCCCGAUGCUGUUCCGGAGGCAGAGGUGGUGCCCGAUGCCGAGGCGGUGCCCGAUGGUGUUCUGGAGGUCGAGGUGGUGCCCGAUGCUGUUCUGGAGGUCGAGGUGGUGCCCGAUGCCGAGGCGGUGCCCGAUGCUGUUCCGGAGGCCGAGGUGGUGCCCGAUGCGGUGCCCGAUGCUGUUCUGGAGGCCGAGACGGUGACCGAUGCUGUUCCGGAGGACGAGGAGGUGCUCGAUGCUGUUCCAGAGGUCGAGGCGGGGGCCGAUGCUGUUCCGGAGGCCGAGGUGGUGCCCGAUGCUGUUCUGGAGGCCGAGGCGGUGACCGAUGCUAUUCCAGAGGCCGAGGCGGUGCCCGAUGUCGAGGCGGUUCCGGAGGCCGAGGCGGUGACCGAGGCGGUUCCGGAGGCCGAGGCGGUGACCGAGGCCGUUCCCGAUGCAGUGUCCGAGGCCGCUCCCGAUGCCUUGUCCACAGCGGUGCCCAAGACCGUUCCAGAGACAGUGCCCGAAGCCAAGGCGCCUCAGGUCUUCACAGACAGUCCAGAGUCUAUUCCGGUUCCUGUGAACUCUCCAGAGUCGAGUCAGGUUCCGGUGGACUCUCGGGAGUCGAGUCAGGUUCCGGGGGACUCUCGGGAGUCGAGUCAUGUUCCCGUGGACUCUCGGGAGUCGAGUCAUGUUCCGGGGGACUCUCAGGAGUCGAGUCAUGUUCCGGGGGACUCUCGGGAGUCGAGUCAUGUUCCGGGGGACUCUCAGGAGUCGAGUCAUGUUCCGGGGGACUCUCAGGAGUCGAGUCAUGUUCCGGGGGACUCUCAGGAGUCGAGUCAGGUUCCGGGGGGCUCUCAGGAGUCGAGUCAGGCUCCGGUGGACUCUCCAGAGUCGAGUCAGGCAUUUGUGGACCCUCCAGAGCCAGGACCAGUCACCGAUGACCCUCCAGAGCCAGGGCCAGUCACUGAUUACCCUCCAGAGCCAAGUCAAGUCACUGGGUGGUCUGCUGCUCCGUUCUGGGGGACUCCAGCCUCAACCAUGGGGGCGUGUUGGUCAUCUGCUCCGCCCUGGGGGACUCCGACAUUGACCACGAGGACAUGGUGGUCAUCUGCUCCGCCCUGGGGGACUCCGACUUUGACCACGAGGACGUGGUGGUCAUCUGCUCCGCCCUGGGGGACUCCGAUGUUGACCACGAGGACGUGGUGGUCGUCCGCUCCACCCUGGGGGACUCUGGCGGCGACCACGUGGACGUGGUGGUCUUCCGCUCCGCCCUGGAGGGCUCUGGCUUUGACUACAAGGCCGUGGUGGUCGUCCGCUCCGCCCUGGAGGGCUCUGGCCUUGACCACGAGGAUGUGGUGGUCAUCUGCUCCACCCUGGGGGACUCCGUGGUUGACCACAAGGACGUGGUGGUCAUCCGCUCCGCCCUGGAGGGCUCUGGCUUUGACCACAAGGCCGUGGUGGUCUUCCGCUCCGCCCUGGAGGGCUCUGGCUUUGACCACAAAUCCGUGGUGA